UUGCUCUUCAACGAGGAAUCCCUAGUAAGCGCAAGUCAUCAGCUUGCGUUGAUUACGUCCCUGCCCUUUGUACACACCGCCCGUCGCUACUACCGAUUGAAUGGCUCAGUGAGGCGUCCGGACUGGCCCAGAGAGGUGGGCAACUACCACUCAGGGCCGGAAAGCUCUCCAAACUCGGUCAUUUAGAGGAAGUAAAAGUCGUAACAAGGUCUCCGUUGGUGAACCAGCGGAGGGAUCAUUACUGAGUUGCAAAACUCCCAAACCCAAUGUGAACCUUACCUACACGUUGCUUCGGCGGACCCGCCCCGGCGCUUCGGCGACCGGACCCAGGCGACCGCCGGGGGAAAACACAAACCCUUUGUAUUACACAGUGAAUCUUCUGAGUAAAAAAAAACAAAUGAAUCAAAACUUUCAACAACGGAUCUCUUGGCUCUGGCAUCGAUGAAGAACGCAGCGAAAUGCGAUAAGUAAUGUGAAUUGCAGAAUUCAGUGAAUCAUCGAAUCUUUGAACGCACAUUGCGCCCGCCGGUAUUCUGGCGGGCAUGCCUGUCCGAGCGUCAUUUCAACCCCUCGAGCCCCCGGGCCCGGUGUUGGGGAACGACCAGCAGCCCUCCGGGGCGGUCGUCCCUGAAAUACAGUGGCGGUCACGUCGCGGACCCUCUGCGUAGUAGCAACACCUCGCACUGGAGAGCGGCGCGCCCACGCCCCGAAACACUUCUUUCACAGGUUGACCUCGGAUCAGGUAGGAAUACCCGCUGAACUUAAGCAUAUCAAUAAGCGGAGGA
Molecule: ribosomal RNA, 785 nt
Filed under: uncultured fungus
Lineage: Eukaryota; Fungi
Description: eukaryotic LSU rRNA
Rfam family: Eukaryotic small subunit ribosomal RNA (bases 1-241)
Source: RNAcentral